Long non-coding RNA from Onychostoma macrolepis, 963 nucleotides. RefSeq lists it as uncharacterized. The record is from RefSeq and is a predicted model, not a curated record. The transcript is spliced from 6 exons. NCBI's taxonomy places the organism in Eukaryota, Metazoa, Chordata, Actinopteri, Cypriniformes, Cyprinidae.
UUGAAAUCCCAGUGUUAAGGACUUUUAGAGUAAAGAGUUAAAGUUGUGGUGUUGAAUUUUAAAGGAUUAACACUAGCUAGUGUAAACAGCACCCUCUGGCCGGUGUUAAUACGGAGAAUUACCCUCAUUAACACUGUUGAGAGUUAUUAGUGACAUCCGGGACAUUUUCUCGUGUGCGAGCCUAAUCCGUCUAAAAUAUUUUUCACAGACGCCAUUUUCUUUGCUCGCGAUGCGGAGCAUAUUAGGACGGAAAACGGCGAUAUAAAGUGUUUAAUCCUACUCACAAAGUGUGUUUUGUAAUAUCAUAUCGUUUUAUAAUUAUUUCAAUGUGUUGGGUGCGCCUAAAAACUUUUAUCAAUGGCAUUUCCUUUCACUCGCGAUGCGGAACAGACGAGGACUUUUCUAAAAGGGAAUAUCCGAAAAGAGACAUUUUCUUUCUCUCGCGGUGCGAGCAGACGGGAAAGUUGUUUUUAACAAGGAAAACACUGAAAAGAGAUAUUUUCGUUCACUCGUGAUGCUCCGGAGCAGAUGAGGAAGUUGGUUUUAACGAGGAAAACGCCAAAAAUGGUCCAUGCUGGCUUAACAGAAAAAUCAAAAGAAGAUGAUGUGCUUGAAGAGUAUGAAGCCACCAAUACAUGGGAGUCGUCCAACCUCAGUGCAGAGAGAUCAAUGUGCACUUGGAAUUGUGACUUUGUCUCUGUCCUUAGAAGACCCAUUUUCUAUUUUACAGGGGCAGUUUUGUGAUGCUGUAAAUAGGAGUGGAUAUCUUGCUUGGCUGAAAACUGCAGAGAAACGCAUCUCAUCGUGCUGAAAAAACGAAUGAGAGUAUUCUCUCCAAGGAGGUCCAAACACCAGCAUAGACUUUGAUUAGUGAGCAUUAACAUGCAUUCAGCUUUUAUGGUAAUGAAUGGAAUGCUGUUGUUUAACCUCCUAAAUGUCAGCAUUAUAAACCUUAUGACAUUA